This 267-nucleotide unclassified non-coding RNA is filed under the name plant metagenome. RNAcentral describes it as "partial contains small subunit ribosomal RNA, internal transcribed spacer 1, and 5.8S ribosomal RNA". The record is from RNAcentral.
UUUCCGUAGGUGAACCUGCGGAAGGAUCAUUAUCGUACAACAUGUGAGGGGCGUGCGAGGGCUGUCGCUGACCCAAAAUUCGUGCACGCCCGAGUGUGUCCUCUUGCAUCAUAAUCCAUCUCACCCUUUGUGCAUCACCGCGUGGGCACCCUUCGGGAUCAUCUCGGAGGGGGGCUCGCGUUUUCACACAAACCCCCCUUUUAAAAGUGUAGAAUGACCACAUUUAUGCAAUCAAUACAACUUUCAACAACGGAUCUCUUGGCUCUC